CGUAUGAGGACGAGGGGAGAGACGAGAAAGCCCUGGUCUGGUCAAUUUUGCAUUCUGAUUGGCUAACACGAUUUGUCUAAAAAUAACUGAACUUGACUGACCAGGGCUUUCUCGUCUCUCCCCUCGUCCCCAUAUGAA
Molecule: microRNA precursor, 138 nt
Filed under: Paramuricea clavata
Lineage: Eukaryota; Metazoa; Cnidaria; Anthozoa; Malacalcyonacea; Plexauridae
Source: RNAcentral